UACGGAGGAUGCAAGCGUUAUCCGGAAUCACUGGGUUUAAAGGGUGCGUAGGCGGUGGCGUAAGUCAGUUGUGAAAUUCCCCGGCUUAACCGGCGGGACUGCGAUUGAUACUGCGUCACUUGAAUCAGGAUGAGGUAGGCGGAAUGUGACAUGUAGCGGUGAAAUGCUUAGAUAUGUCAUAGAACACCGAUUGCGAAGGCAGCUUGCUGGACCUGUAUUGACGCUGAGGCACGAAAGCGUGGGGAGCAAACAGG
Molecule: ribosomal RNA, 254 nt
Filed under: uncultured bacterium
Lineage: Bacteria
Description: partial 16S ribosomal RNA
Rfam family: Bacterial small subunit ribosomal RNA
Source: RNAcentral